RNAcentral lists this ribosomal RNA (522 nucleotides) under Triticum aestivum (bread wheat). RNAcentral describes it as "partial small subunit ribosomal RNA". Lineage: Eukaryota; Viridiplantae; Streptophyta; Magnoliopsida; Poales; Poaceae. The record is from RNAcentral.
GUUAAAUGGAGUAAAGAAUCUCUUAGAGAUAGGCUAAGACCCGACCCUGCUUUUGCUACUUCACCUAUUUGCGUUCCUGAUAAGGAUUAUUAUGAUUUUUCUAUUGAUCCAGAUAUAAUUACUUUGGUUGAAUCUGAUCCUUUCUAUGGCUAUGAAUCUGAAACUGUUGUGGCACAUCUUACUAAGUUGAAUGAUAUAGCUGCCCUGUUUACUAAUAAUGAGAGAUUGCGCUACCUUUAUUUACUCAAAAUAUUUCCGUUCUUAUUAAAGGGUGAUGCUAAGAUAUGGUUUAAUUCUCUUGAUCCUGGUUGUGUUCAAAGUCCCCAGGAUAUGAUUUAUUACUUCUCUGCUAAAUAUUUCCCUGCUCAUAAGAAACAAGCAACCUUGAGGGAAAUAUAUAACUUCGUGCAAAUUGAAGAAGAGAGUCUCCCACAAGCUUGGGGAAGGUUUCUCAAGUUACUUAAUGCUUUACCUGAUCAUCCUCUUAAGAAACCUGAAAUACUUGAUAUCUUUUAUAAUGGA